Molecule: ribosomal RNA, 495 nt
Filed under: uncultured bacterium
Lineage: Bacteria
Description: partial 16S ribosomal RNA
Rfam family: Bacterial small subunit ribosomal RNA
Source: RNAcentral
GACGAACGCUGGCGGCGUGCCUAAUACAUGCAAGUAGAACGCUGAAGGAGGAGCUUGCUUCUCUGGAUGAGUUGCGAACGGGUGAGUAACGCGUAGGUAACCUGCCUGGUAGCGGGGGAUAACUAUUGGAAACGAUAGCUAAUACCGCAUAAGAGUAGAUGUUGCAUGACAUUUGCUUAAAAGGUGCAAUUGCAUCACUACCAGAUGGACCUGCGUUGUAUUAGCUAGUUGGUGGGGUAACGGCUUACCAAGGCGACGAUACAUAGCCGACCUGAGAGGGUGAUCGGCCACACUGGGACUGAGACACGGCCCAGACUCCUACGGGAGGCAGCAGGAGGGAAUCUUCGGCAAUGGACGGAAGUCUGACCGAGCAACGCCGCGUGAGUGAAGAAGGUUUUCGGAUCGUAAAGCUCUGUUGUAAGAGAAGAACGAGUGUGAGAGUGGAAAGUUCACACUGUGACGGUAUCUUACCAGAAAGGGACGGCUAACUACGUG